This 898-nucleotide ribosomal RNA is filed under the name Neonectria coccinea. RNAcentral's name for it is "LSU rRNA". It matches the Rfam family "Eukaryotic large subunit ribosomal RNA", at positions 38 to 967 of the family's 3401-position model. Lineage: Eukaryota; Fungi; Ascomycota; Sordariomycetes; Hypocreales; Nectriaceae. The record is from RNAcentral.
GCAUAUCAAUAGCGAAGAAAAAGAAAUCCACAGAGAAUUGCACUAGUAACGGCGAGUGAAGCGGCAACAGCUCAAAUUUGAAAUCUGGCCCCCGGGUCCGAGUUGUAAUUUGUAGAGGAUGCCUUUUGGUGCGGUACCUUCCGAGUUCUCUGGAACGAGACGCCAUAGAGGGUGAGAGCCCCGUCUGGUUGGACGCCAAACCUUUGUAAAGCUCCUUCGACGAGUCGAGUAGUUUGGGAAUGCUGCUCUAAAUGGGAGGUAUAUGUCUUCUAAAGCUAAAUAUUGGCCAGAGACCGAUAGCGCACAAGUAGAGUGAUCGAAAGAUGAAAAGCACUUUGAAAAGAGAGUUAAAAAGUACGUGAAAUUGUUGAAAGGGAAGCGCUCAUGACCAGACUUGGGCCCGGUUGAUCAUCCAGGGUUCUCCCUGGUGCACUCUUCCGGCCCAGGCCAGCAUCAGUUCGCUGUGGGGGAUAAAGGCUUCGGGAAUGUGGCUCCCUCGGGAGUGUUAUAGCCCGUCGUGCAAUACCCUGCGGCGGACUGAGGUUCGCGCAUUCGCAAGGAUGCUGGCGUAAUGGUCAUCAGCGACCCGUCUUGAAACACGGACCAAGGAGUCGUCUUCGUAUGCGAGUGUUCGGGUGUCAAACCCCUACGCGUAAUGAAAGUGAACGCAGGUGAGAGCUUCGGCGCAUCAUCGACCGAUCCUGAUGUUCUCGGAUGGAUUUGAGUAAGAGCAUACGGGGCCGGACCCGAAAGAAGGUGAACUAUGCCUGUAUAGGGUGAAGCCAGAGGAAACUCUGGUGGAGGCUCGCAGCGGUUCUGACGUGCAAAUCGAUCGUCAAAUAUGGGCAUGGGGCGAAAGACUAAUCGAACCUUUCUAGUAGCUGGGUUCCGCCGAAGU